AAUCAAUUUCUCUUCUCUCCUCCUCUCUUCACAGCCUCUACCCGAUCUCUGGCGUCACACCCUCUUCUCUCUCCGGCGGCUCUGGACUCGACCAAACGACACCUUGUAGCGGCAGCAGCAGUGGUACACGAUCGCUGACGACGACGAUCGUGUGUAGAACCACCGGAGUCUAUCUCUUUUCAUUCAACUUCUCUGUCGGUGUCAUCCCCCAGGUGCUGUUGACUCUCCGAGACGGUAGUGCGCCUAUUGCCCGCAUUGUAGCCACGAUUUUUUGGUGGUGGUGGUGGUGGUGUGGCGGCGACGAUGACACUGAGAUUGGGGAUUUUUUCAGUUGAUUUGGUGUGGCGCGGAGAUGGAAAUGGUGAUGGCGAUUCUUGGUAUAGGCAGUGAUUGUGGUGCUAACCAUGAUGUUGGUGAGAAUGUGGUAACCUUUGACGGCGCGACUGGAAGCUCACAAGUUAGACUACUACGCUGCCGCAGAUCUGUUGUGGGCUAUGGCCGGAAUCUACAGCUCCGCGAUUUGGUGGGGUUUUGGGUUUGCUUUUAGUUGGUGGAUGGGGGCUAUAGUAGUGGUGGUGUUUGGGUGGCGGUGAUUUUGGUGGUGGUGGGGUGCCGUGCAGUGGUUGUGGCAUUAGAUGGCAGUGGUCAUGGCAGCAGAGAACGGUGGUCAUGGUGAUGAGAUGUUAGUGGCGAUAGUUUGUUCGAGAUGGAUGUGUUGAUUUGUUUGAGACUUCGAUAUUGCUAUCGGGUGGUGGUGGUACUGCUAGCAAUGGCGGUGGUGCAAGUGGAGGCAGUGGUUGUCGGCAAGUGGUGAUGGUGGUCAUAGAUUAUUUGUUUGAUUGUGACCAUUAAAUUGGUUAAUCUGUG
This 867-nucleotide long non-coding RNA is filed under the name Olea europaea subsp. europaea. The record is from RNAcentral. Lineage: Eukaryota; Viridiplantae; Streptophyta; Magnoliopsida; Lamiales; Oleaceae.